Molecule: long non-coding RNA, 6880 nt
Organism: Panicum virgatum (switchgrass)
Lineage: Eukaryota; Viridiplantae; Streptophyta; Magnoliopsida; Poales; Poaceae
Exons: 11
Source: RefSeq, a predicted model, not a curated record
UCGGGCUGGCGCUGCCGCCCUGCGCGUCCGGCCGUGUAGCGCGCGCCCUGCGCGUGCGUGACCCGCGGCUGGCAUGCGCGGCGCGGGCGGUGUGUGGCGUGCGCCCUGUGCGUGCAUGCCCCGCGACGGGCUUGCCCGCGGACGCCCUGCGCGUGCGUGCCCCGCGGCGUGCAGUGCGGCGCGACCGCCGUGCCCCCGGCGUGGGCGGGCGGCAUGCGCCGUGUGGUUGGCGGCGUGGGCGUGCGGCGUGCCCGGCGCGCCGCAUGCCCGGCGUGCGGCCAAUCGUUCUUGGCUCCAUUUCUUAAAUCCGAGCAUUUGGGGAGCUUUUGGUUGGUUUGAUUCGUGCAAAGACAUGUGUUGAUGCUACUCCAUGAGUGAAUUUGAUUGAAUCAACACGAGCACGAAGAAUCGAACCAAUUUUGUUUUGGGGAGAAAAACUGCAUUCUUGCACAUGAUCUGAAAUUCCUGGAGUUUGAGUUCAAAUUGAGCCAUGACGCUUUCGGGAUAGCUUACCAACUCCAUAGAGAUCACCAGUGCAAAGUUUGGGAGCGAAUCCUUUUGAUUUGAUCAAGUUUGGGGCGUUUUUCUUUUUAUCCCGUCUCUCUUCUCUUCUAGCUUCCUCAUCUGUUCAUUGCUCGGCAGAGCAGAGCUGUGGCCGGCGCAAGCAGGACGACCAUCCAGCGAGGGAAUGCGGCAGCCAUCAUCCCAUCCCCGACAUUUACGAUUGCAUCGCGGUACAGUAUAUGGACUAUUACCUUCUACCUCAUGUAGUCCAGUUUGUAAAGAUGGGUUCGUUUCAGCUAUUUUGGCCGAUUGCAGCUGCUAAGCCAUUUGGCUGUAAACCUAAGCACCUACGGUUACAAAUCAAAGACCAAACGUGCAGCCGCAGCGCUGCAGCAGCAUUAGUGCCGAACAGAGACAUGUAUGGAAAAAUAACAUCUUUGAGUUAGAAGCAAGGAAAAAUGACAAGCGUUGAUUCUCUUGACAUGUUUAGUUAUUACCCAAAUGUUCUCGACUUUUCUCGAAACUAAGCAUUGGAACUCAAGCUCUGGCACAAUGAAAGCUAACUAAGCAUUGCAACUCAAGCUCGGCCCAGGGCAGUAGGCGGCCUGAAGGUCCUCAACAUCGAUGCUCGAGCUCCAGGUCUGUGCAUUUGCCUCCACCCUUGCAUUUGGUUCAGACACUACGUCAAGAUGGCCUUGCGGAAGGCCGUCGCACUCCUUCCUGAGCAUGCAGUCGUUGCAUAUACAACGAGCCGUGCAACGAGAGUGGAUAUCAUGCGCACCCGGGCGCAUCGAUGUGUUAAUAGAUGAACACAUUCGUGCAAUUGCCUGAGUUGGAGGCCAUGUUUCCUACGAGUCAGGUAUGUCUGUUACUUCAUGAGUAGCACUUACGAGUGUUGAUUGAUCUUUCAUUUCGAUGCUUCAUUUGACCUCCACAAGCUGUUUGCUACCAGUGAUCCUUGAGAGACUCUCUGACAGAGGGAGGCAGAGGAACAAGUAGAACGACAACGACUGAAGAAGCAGUGGUUGUGUAAGCACAAAUUGAUCAAUAGUAUUGCCACAUUGUGGUAGCACUAUUCACCUUUGAUCAACCUACUGAAAUCACAUUUUCUUUUAUAUUUUUUUCUUUCUAUAGAAUUACCCAUUUUAUGUCACAUUUCAAAUGAAGCUCAAUUACAAUUGCUGGGAUGGAACUGGGCACAGGAGAGCUACCCAGCAGAGAUUCUUGGCUUCUGCAAUUUUAUCUCACAUUCUUCUGAAGAGCAAUCUUUACGGGUAGCUGUUGUGCAAGAGUAUCUGAUGUUUUCAAACAUAUAUGACCUCACUGCUGUGCUGGAGAACAGAUAGCUUUGAACUAUUUGGUGAUCAUUCCCAGUUUUGCAUGGCACGUGGAAGUCUUUGGAUCUUUGAGAAAAUGGCUCUAUCUGUCCACAAGUGAUAUCGAUGGUUCUAUCUUCUAUUAGCAGGUUGGAUGAGGAAAGGUUUAUCCCGUUAUGAUUGUGUGCUCUACAAUUAAAUACUGAUGCUAACAUGAAUGGUGGGACAAUAAACUUUAGUAUGGCAUUAAGAACUUCCAUAAUGCAAUGGUGUUUGCUUGAAGUACAAUGAUGUAUUGUUUCCUUUUGCUUGAAGUAAAUUGAUGUAUUGUUUCCUUCUGAACUUCCAUAAUGCAAUGGUCUCUGCCAUUUGUAUCUAAAAGAAUUUAAAAUUACUUAAGGAAAUGGCUAAUCAAUUUGUCAAUGGUUCAGUGUAUUGGUUGCUUCUUGAAUAAUUGUCCAAUUAUAAACAUUUUAGUUGAGUUUCAGAAGUUCAGAAACAUAAAAUUGCAUUGGCCUUGUUGCUCAAAUGUACCAUUUUGUUUUAUUUAGUGUAUAUCAUUAUUACACAUAAAUAUUAUAUGUGUUGUUUUUUUUACCCGUAGCGUUAGCACAGGCCAACUUACUAGUAAAUCCUAAAUCCAUCCAUCCUCUAAAGCACCAAUUAAAAUUUAGCUACGGCCACACGCAGAACUGCCCCCAUUGAGGAGCUACGGACUCAUGCACUCGGAAAUUUGUACCCAGCGAUUCAUAUUUGUAAAGAUCUACGGCUCACCGCGGCCCCUACCAGCCAUCAAUGUGAUCUGACGGCGAGUACAUCCAGACUUCAACGCGUUCAAGCCUGCCCCGCAUUGAAGCCCCCCGCCGCCGCCAAGACCCCCCGCCCCGCCCGACUCAGGUCACGCAAACGCCAUUCCGCCAGGGUUCGAAUCCCACCCGGUGCGGUUAAACGAAAAUCAAUCAAGAGGAAAAAAAAGCAAACCUCCCUCCAAACCUCGGUCUACCCUAUCGCGUCGACCGCACGCCGCCCUCCACUGUGCUGAGUCCGCCACACACGUCGCCCCGCGGAGCCAACCACCCCCGCCGCGCCUCCAUCUGUCGCCGGAGCUCCACGGGCCAGAGGAAUGCGCAGCCCUGCUGGGACUGCUUCGCCGCCGCGGGGGCCCCAGCGCCCUCCACGUCGCCUCCGUAAGUGCCGGGCCCCGGAUUCCUCAUAUUUGCGCGAGGCGGCACGCGGGGCGGAGUAGGUGGCGCCAGGCGGAGCCACCGGCGGGCGGCGAGGCGGCGUUCCAGGCGGAGCCGCCGGCGGAGAGGUGGCGCGCCGGGCUGAUGGUCGCCACAAGGAGCUGGUUGCUUGUAGGUCAGCGGCCUCCAUGCGGAGCUUGACGGCCGCCCUUCCUUAUUGUUAUGGGCUGCCGCUGCCGUCCAACGAGGCAGCGCGGGGCUGCUGCCCAGCAAGGCGAGGCCGCGCCGGGUGUGGCACCGCUGCAUGGUGAGGCCGCGCGUGGCCGCCGCUGGGUGAGGUGAGGCCACAGCGGACGAGGCGCGAAGCCGGACAGGGUGCACGCCAGUGAUGAUACGGGAGGAGGUAGACGGACGCCAAGCCCCGAAAGAUGCGAGCCAAUGGCACCAAGGAGAUGUAAGGGAUUUUGGGUGCUGGCCUGCUGGGUUCCUUAUUUGCCGUACUCAUUUGGCCUCAAGCGAUUCAUUUUCCUCACUAUUUCAAGGUGCUUUGGCCCGGGCGCUGUGCGUGUGCCACGAGCGCCGUCCUGAUGCACCUCGGCUCGGUGCUUUGGCCGCCGUCACUCAUGCCGCGAGUGCUGCCUGCAUGGGGGCGCCGUGUGCGUCGGGGCCCUGCUGUGCUGCAGCUGCAGGCCCGGCUGCCGCCUGAGCCGUGCUAGCGCUGCCUCGCCACCACCGUCAUGCUGUUAAAUGAAAUGUUUAGCCCAUGUCUUCUUUAGUCAGGGAAUUCCUUUAUCCCUAUAAAUCAAUGAAGCUCAAUGCAACUCUGGUUCCAAUAUUUUUGGAAGGAGCUGUAAAUUUUGGAAACUCGGGUAAUUCCUUUAGCCACGACAUUCUCGAUCUAGGAGGGGAUGCUGUAAAUUUUUGGAAGGCAAGCUCAAUUUCGAAUACAUUUUAGUUUGGCUGAGGCAUCAAUUGAAUGGGUAAAGCAUCUACUCCCUCCGUCCCAAAAAACAAGAAAACAAGUCAUUCUGGGAUUCAAAAUUUGUUCCAAAAAACAAGUCAAUUUACCCUAUUAAGAAAGUGCAUGUGCAUGUAAGAAUCAAUUACUACCAAAUAUGGGUAACAAAUAGGGGUAAACAUGGUCAUUUUACCUUCUAGUAAAUCUGUCCUAAAAUUUUUAGAAUGACUUGUAUUUUGAGACGGAGGGAGUAUUUUAUAGGGAAGAUGGAUCAAUGAUAGUCUCACGUUUCCUUUUCUGAGAUUAGUCCCUCUGAAUCCGACCAUAUAUGCUUUAUUUAGAUACUGAUUGCAUGAUUUGAGGCAACAUUGUAGUGUGGUAAUUUCCUUUUACUGAUUGCAUGAUUUCAGGCUGGUUGUAGUGUGCUAAUUUCCUUUGGUGGUCCUGCAAUUCGAUUUGGAUUUGCGUUGGUAAUCAACUGGGGGAGUUGGACUAGCAUUUCCGUUUCUGAGAGAUCCAAAAGGAUGGUAUUGAUCCUGAGAAACAUAAAGUGACUCAAGCAGAUGAACAACUCAGUGAUAAAUGUGACAUGAAAAAGGCAAUGGAGAUGGUGGCGUUGUUGGAAGCUCAGCUUAAAGACUUGAGCCCAAGCCUGGAUUCCAUAUCUUUCAAACUGAAGGAGAUGUACCAGGGUUUGGCACUAACGGAGCGCAGGCACCACGAAUUUGUGACGAAUUUUCUGAAAACGUCAUAGAUGACCGCCUUAUAUCGUCACAAAACAUACCGCCGUCCACAUCACCCUCCUGUGAUGUUCUGUAUAUUCGUCAUGUCUGUAUAUUCGUCAUAUUUGUUUCUCGCUGCAUCCGUGGAUUGCCCAGGUGGCAAAGGCUAGCAAGGUUGCACCUGUGGACUGUACAGGUGGUAAAGCAAGGAAAACAAAAAUUCUGCAACAAGUGCUGAAUCCAACAAGUGCUGUCGGGCUAUCUGCCCCACGUUGGCGCUGGCGGACCAACCCGUUGGCGGCGGCAGCGGCGGCGGCGGGCCUCUUUGACCUCGGUCACUCCUCCCCACGGCGAAGGCAUCCAAGGCAGAUGCGGAGCACCCCAGUGCGGCGGCGACCGCUCCUGGAUCUGGCUCCCCAUGGUGUUGGCCCACUUGGCUGCUCCCCACGGCGAAGGGAUCGAUGGCAGAGGCUUCCUAGGCACAGUGCAGAGCUUCCCCUCUCUCUCCAUUGCUGCAUCCUUUCUUGACUACAUAUAAAAGAUGGAUAGAAGUUGGAUCCAUGGGAAAAAAUUCACACCAGCUUACACCAACGGUGUGAAUGAGUUCAUGGAAUUUGUUAAGGAAAGGUUUGUGGAACACAUCCCAAUAAGUUGCCCGUGUCGUCAAUGUCUUAACCAAAUUGAAAGGCCACAGUAAGAAGUCAAUGACCACAUCCUUAUUCAUGGAAUGUCAGCCACAUACACGCGGUGUACUCAUCAUGGGAAAUCCUUAGAUGAUGCUAUUGUUGAAUAUUCAGAGAAGGUGGAUGGAGUUGUCCAGGAUGAUGGGAUUGCAGUGGAUGAUGAGCCAGAUAGCAAUGAGCAAGACAACGAUGACAAUGAUGGGAUGCCAAAUUUUGAGUUGAUAGCAGAAUUGUACACAACAGCAGAGGAGGAUGGGCAGCUGCCAAAGUUUACUAGAGUGCUUGAUGAUUUGAAGUGCUCACUUUGGCCACGAUCCAAGCACACAAGAUUCUCAUUUCUCAUGAGGUUGCUCCGUAUCAAGUCCCGAUAUCAAAUCUGCAAUACGGGAUUUAAUACAUUAUUGAAGCUGCUUUCCUCGGCAUUCCCUCAGAGCAAAUUGCCUGAAUCAUAUGAUGAGGCAAAGAAAUAUCCCCGUGAAUUGGGCAUUGGAUAUGACAAGAUCCUUGUAUGCAAGAAUAAUUGUGUGCUGUUCCGGAAGCGCUAUGCCAAAAUGGAUGUGUGCCCAAAAUGCAAAGAAUCUAGAUGGGAGGACAAGGAUGGCAAGUGUGUUCCUCAUAAGGUUUUGAGGCAUUUUCCACUUAUACCAAGGUUGAAGAGGAUGUUUGGGUCUAGCAAAAUGGCUGACGACACCUAGUGGCAAAAGAAAAAUGGACACCAGUUGAUAAUGAACUGAGCCAUCCAUCGGAUGGGGAGGCAUGGAAACACUUUGACUUCAAGUAUCCAUCAUUUGCAAGGGAUGCAAGGAAUUUGAGACUUGCUGUGGCUAUAGAUGGUGUCAAUCUAUUUGGAAACUUUAGCACGACUUAUAGCAUGUGGACUGUCCUUGUGACACCCUUGAACCAGCCACCAUGGGAAUGUGUGAACCCAUCAAAUUGCUUCAUGUCCUUGCUGAUCCCAGGUCCCGGGAAAGGAUUUUGAUUUGUUCUUGGAGCCUCUAAUAGAAGAAUUGUUUGAAUUGUGGAGUGGUGUUAGUACAUAUGAUGCAGCCAGUGGUACAAAGUUCAAUCUUCAUGCAGCUGUGCUUUGGUGCAUACAUGACUUUCCAGCUCUAAGCACCAUGUCAGGGCAAACUACAAAAGGUUAUUAUGCAUGUACUCUUUGCAACAAAAAUCCAUUGUCACAGGCACUAAGGAAUAAGGUUGGUUACUUUGGCCACCGUCGUUACCUUCCAAUGGAUCAUCCUUGGCGGAGAAGCUUGGUUUUUGAUGGAAAACGUGAAAACCAAAGCGCACCACGUAAAUUGACUACAGAGGAGGUGAUAGAUGUCAGGCUAGGCAAGGAUGGAGGAAAGAAAAGAAAGCGUGGAGACAAAGAAGAGUCAAUAAUUUAUAACCCGAAAUUUGCAUGGUGGAAGCUGCCAUAUUGGAAAGACUUGCUGUUGCCUCACAACUGUUGAUGGCCAUUAUCUCACGUUUAGACCGUCAACUUCUCGGGAAUAAAUUGAGUUUUGCA